UACGUAGGGGGCAAGCGUUGUCCGGAAUCAUUGGGCGUAAAGCGCGUGUAGGCGGCUUGAUAAGUCUGCUCUGAAAGCCCGGGGCUCAACCCUGGGAGGCGGGUGGAUACUGUCGAGCUCGAGUCCGGAAGAGGCGAGUGGAAUUCCUGGUGUAGCGGUGAAAUGCGUAGAUAUCUGGAGGAAUACCGGUGGCGAAGGCGGCAUCCUGGACCGACAUUGACGCUGAUGAGCGAAAGCUAGGGGAGCAAACGGG
This 253-nucleotide ribosomal RNA is filed under the name uncultured bacterium. RNAcentral's name for it is "partial 16S ribosomal RNA". It matches the Rfam family "Bacterial small subunit ribosomal RNA", at positions 524 to 776 of the family's 1533-position model. The record is from RNAcentral.